Molecule: long non-coding RNA, 555 nt
Organism: Ctenopharyngodon idella (grass carp)
Lineage: Eukaryota; Metazoa; Chordata; Actinopteri; Cypriniformes; Xenocyprididae
Exons: 2
Source: RefSeq, a predicted model, not a curated record
UACAGUGAGUCUCAAACUCCAUUGUUUCUUCCUUCUUAUGUAAAUCUCGUUCGUGCAAAACACCACUGAAGAACAGGCGAAUCUCAACAUAACACCGAUUGUGACGCAACAGUCGGGAUCAUUAAUAUGUACGCCCCCAAUAUUUGCAUAUGCCAGCCCAUGUUCAAGGCAUUACACAAGCCAGUAUUAACAUCUGGAGCUGCACAGCCGAAUCAUCAGAUGUUCUGCAGUCGUCGAUUGAGUCAGGCCUGCAAACCUGUUGGUAGAUAGGCAGUGGACAGUGGAAAUAUGCACUCGUCCCAGAUGAUGUCCCGCUGGCAGAGAGGCUUUACCAGGGUCUCUGAAGCCCAUCCAGGUCCAGCAGCUCCACCAGGCUCUCCCUGCUCAGCCGAAUGAAAGUGUACACAAAUAUGUUCUGUUCUAUGCAUCAUUAAUUGUGUAUCGUUAACAACAAAUGUUAUGUUGUUUUUCUGAUGGGAAACCCAAGGGCUGUUGUUUUAAAAAAAAAAAAAAAAAAAAAAAAAAAAAAAAAAAAAGUACAGAACAAUUCUAUUU